AUGAUCCGGCGUUUUCUUCCAAAACUCAAAACGCCGGAUUAUCUAGCGCCACUAAAUGGUAUUUGGGGCCAUCUUUUUCAAGAUUGGUAUUUUGGGCAUUUUUCUUAAUUUUUGUGACAUUGGGGACCGUCUUUCGAAAACUUUCUGGGUAUCUACCAAGAUAUUAAUAUUAAGAUCUAGCAAGAUCUUUAGUAUUUAUCUUUCAGUCACCUCCGUCACAGGCCAGAGGCUACACUGCAGGGGCUACGGCAGAGAGGGAUGAUGAUGGGUGGUGCUUUGCUAUUAAUUUUGAUUGGAGACCUAUUAAUUCAGAUAUCAAAUUGUUUAAAGAAGGAGGAGACUAAAAAGCUGCGGGAAGAUCAUGACCAACUGAGUAAUAAACUCGAAGAGUUUAUCAAGUUGGAGAAGAAGAGGCAGAAGCGAGAGAAGAAGGCCAGGAGAGCGGAACAUGAAGAAUUUACCAAGGCAAACUUGGAGGCUAUGAAAGAAUUGAAGAAAAUGAUGGGUGACCGGUUGAAUGACGUGGAGAAAUAUGGUUAAAUGAUUGCUGGAAUGUUGUGUUGAAAAACUAAGUUAGUAUAUGAAUGUUCUGAUGGCUCGGCCAAUGUUCUGAUGUCUAUGCAGUAUUAUGUAUGUUAGCCUGUUCUUAGUAGUA
Daucus carota subsp. sativus is the source of this 655-nucleotide long non-coding RNA. RefSeq lists it as uncharacterized. NCBI's taxonomy places the organism in Eukaryota, Viridiplantae, Streptophyta, Magnoliopsida, Apiales, Apiaceae. The record is from RefSeq and is a predicted model, not a curated record. The transcript is spliced from 2 exons.